Molecule: ribosomal RNA, 253 nt
Filed under: uncultured bacterium
Lineage: Bacteria
Description: partial 16S ribosomal RNA
Rfam family: Bacterial small subunit ribosomal RNA
Source: RNAcentral
UACGUAGGGUGCGAGCGUUGUCCGGAAUUAUUGGGCGUAAAGGGCUCGUAGGCGGUUUGUCACGUCGGGAGUGAAAACUCAGGGCUCAACCCUGAGCCUGCUUCCGAUACGGGCAGACUAGAGGUAUGCAGGGGAGAACGGAAUUCCUGGUGUAGCGGUGAAAUGCGCAGAUAUCAGGAGGAACACCGGUGGCGAAGGCGGUUCUCUGGGCAUUACCUGACGCUGAGGAGCGAAAGCGUGGGGAGCGAACAGG